CAGAGAACAAGACUACUAACAAUAAACCAGUUUCAGUCCUCAAGCAAGAAGUUGUCUCAAUUUAUAAUGAAAACUUCACUGACAUUCCCAAGGACAGGGAGCCAUAUUAUGUUAAAAAUCAACGAUGUAUCAUCGAAAAAGAUAAAAUUCCUAUAUGUUCAUAUUGUUGGCCCCAACCUAUGACAUUGACAGAAGUCGAGAUUGUCGUUCCUGAUUUAAAAAACUACACAAAAUUUUACAAAUAUAUUGUAUAUAAUCACA
Molecule: long non-coding RNA, 261 nt
Organism: Xenia sp. Carnegie-2017
Lineage: Eukaryota; Metazoa; Cnidaria; Anthozoa; Malacalcyonacea; Xeniidae
Exons: 2
Source: RefSeq, a predicted model, not a curated record